AAUCUUCCACAAUGGACGGAAGGCAGAUGUAGCAACGCCGCGUGAGCGAAGAAGGUAUUCGGAUAGGAAAGCAAAGUUCUAAGGGAAGAACACGUACGGGAGUCACUGCCCGUACCUUGACUGUACCUUAUCAGCAAGUCACGGCUAACUCCGUGCCAUCAGCCGCGGUAACACGUAGCUGGCAAUCGUUGUCCGGAAUUAUAGGGCCUAACGCGCGCGCAGGCGGUCCUUUAAGUCUGAUGUGAAAGCCCACGGCUCAACCGUGGAGGGUCAUUGGAAACUGGAGGACUUGAGUACAGAAGAGGAAAGCGGAAUUCCACGUGUAGCGGUGAAAUGCGUAGAGAUGUGGAGGAACACCAGUGGCGAAGGCGGCUUUCUGGUCUGUAAAUGACGCUGAGGCGCGAAAGCGUGGGGAGCAAACA
Molecule: ribosomal RNA, 422 nt
Filed under: uncultured bacterium
Lineage: Bacteria
Description: partial 16S ribosomal RNA
Rfam family: Bacterial small subunit ribosomal RNA
Source: RNAcentral